RNAcentral lists this long non-coding RNA (6470 nucleotides) under Homo sapiens (human). RNAcentral describes it as "HSALNT0015187". The record is from RNAcentral. Lineage: Eukaryota; Metazoa; Chordata; Mammalia; Primates; Hominidae.
GCGGGCUCUCGGGCAGGAAGGCCCAGCCUUCGCGGCCCGCCAGGCUAGUCAAGUGAAGCAAUGGGAGUGGAGAUGGAACAAAGAAAUCUGCAAUUGGUUGUGAUCAAUUAGUUGUAAACACUACUGCACUUGGACCAACCUCUUCCUUUUCCUGACUGCUUAGGAAGGAUGGAAUGUAUUUCCUUCCUUCUGGGAGUGUUUGAAUGAAGAUUAGACUCUCCUUGACCAUGAAUGAAGAGCAACCAGUUUUUUAGUAUACAGUGAUUUAGACUCUGGGUCUAGAGUGUAGAUAUCAUGGGCACUGUGAAAGCACAGAAGGAGAAAAGGUUUUUAUUUUGGUGGGGCUUUGUGUCUGAAUUCUGGCCAAUGGAACCACGUGGAGGCCUGGCCCAGAACAUCUCCCUGUGGAUUCUCUCAUCUGGCAACUGGAUGCCUACACGAAGGGUGAUUUUGGAGUCAUGUGUUGGAGAUCACAAAGCUUUUGUCAGCCAGGUUCCUGAAUGACUGCUAGACACCAUGGGCUGAACUUUAUGAGCUCCAGCACCACCUCCAGCCUUCAGUGACUGUCUGGAGCAGGCAUCCGGAUGGAAGAGAAGGGGGACAACCAUGAACUUGGUGACCCACGGUCAGCCUGAUUUCCCUUGUGGACACAUUUAUGCCCAGUGUGCAUUCCUCCUGAGGUCUGUUCCAAGUCUGGAGGCAGCAGAGUAGAGUGGAGAGAACAGUGGACUUGGAAUCUCACCUCCCAGAUUAGAGUCCUGGAUCUGACUUUGAUUGCUGGUGCUGCCUCGGGCAAGUUACUUUAGCUGUGUGCAUCUCCAUUUCCCCAUGGAUAGAACAUGGGUUUUGGGUAGAAGUGUCUGAUAGCUGUACUGUGCUUUACGGUUCAUGAGCACGCACACAUAGGCCCAUAAUAUCAUAUCUCUGGUCACCCUGGCAGGUAGAUAUUAUUGCCCCAGGUUUCAGGUAAGAAGACUAAAGACCAGGGGUCAAUUGCUUGCUCAGAGUCCCACAGCCAGCAGCAGCCAGGCAGGACACCAAGUCAGAGUCUAGAUUCCGGAUCUUGCCCUCUUCCAAGUGUACCACAUUCUUCUCAAAGUGGCCUCUCAGGUCUUUUGUCCAGAAAAUUUUGAGACUUUGAUGAGAAGCCCAUAUCUGCACACUGGGGAUUAGGCCAGAUAACCCUGUGUGUCCUUCCAGGCCUGGUAUUGUGAGGCUGAAGCCUAGUGCCCCACACUCCCUUCCUCACCCCUUAGAGAAAGAUAGAGACUCCAGGGCCAGCCUGGUGGGUGCUGAACCUGCCCUGCUGAGCCAAGCCCAGGAGGCAGCCAAGGUCCUACCAGUGACCUUACCCUGGGGGCCCCUCCAGGUAGGAGCCUGGUUGGAAAAGACAGACCGACUUCUUCUGGGUUGGCUGGAAAAAGAUGACAUACUCAAAGCCUUGUCCUUCCACUUGGAUGCACCUGGUGAAGAUGCGACAGUCACCUUUGUCUGGGGAGAGAUAGGCAGUGUUGCAGCCGGAGAAGGGAGGGUAUGGUCAGGAUGCAGCACCAUUUGGUUGAGUCUUGCCUCUGGUACAAGAUUAAGGAGAGAAAACCAGAGGACACCAGGUCCACCCCCAGGGAGCCUUCCCUCUGGGAGCAGAGGCACAGUUGCUGUCCUCACAGAGCCUUUCUGUCUAGGGCAGAAACAUGCAGGAAGUGCCCUGGCUGAGAAUGGAGAUAGGAUCAGGGCCAGGGCAAGACUUUAAGAGACCAUAAGCAUUGAAAAUUGAAAAUGUAAUUACUCAUGUAACUCACAUAUAAUUCAAAAGAAUAAUAGUAAACAGUAAAAUAAGAGCAGAAAAGUCCAUCAAAGUUCUGAUUUUUUUUUUCCAAGACAGCUACCACUACUACAUCCUUUUUUGGAAGUAUCAAAUUCUUUGAAAAAAAAUUAUGUUGGUAUUCCUGCUUUGUUUGUGCCAUAAACCCAAGGGUAGUCUGUCCCCUGUACCACUCCUUCAUCACUAGGCAGGAAGACAACAUAUAUGAGUGAGAGAGACAGGGAGAUACACAUGCGUGCACACACGAGUGCACACACACACACAAGAAGGUGGAAGCUCUAUCAUUAGGAUCCAUUAGGAUCAUUAGGUGUUUCAGGAGUGCUGCUCCAGACCCCGCACAGCAGGGAUGAUGUGCAGGGCCUCAGUGGAAGGGGUGUGGGGUCCAAGGGCUUUCAUGGGGUUGGGGCGGAAGGCUUGGGAUGAGGCUUGAUAGUUAGGGAGGGGCAGUCAGUGAGAAGUCGGGGCAGGAGCUGGGCUGGCUGUCCUCCAGUGGGGACAUGCUUGGCUGGGAGCGAAGGUGGGCCCACCAGGGUGUGCUGCUUCAGAUGGGAGGAGGGGAGCUGGAGACCUGAGAGGACACCCGCCGCCUGUUGCCUGGGGCUGCAGCAUCAGGGGUGGAGUUGGACAGCAGGAAGAACUCGCUGAGAACUGGAAGGCGGUCUGUGAAGUUGCUUCUCAGUCUUAGAACACAGGGAAGGGCGGCUGGGGUGUGUGUACUCAUGGUCCUGUCCUUACCUGAGGAAACUGCCAGUCCAGAUGGGAGCUUGAGUCCCCGGAUGUGGUCUCUGUUGGACUUGAAGGAGGGCAGCUUGAUCCAGCCGCUAGACUUAGUCUUCUCCAGAAAUUCUUGGUACAGGCUCAGCAUGUCCGAACACCAGCUGGCAUUGGGAAGAGCAUAAUCCUUCAAGUCUGUCUUCUCUGGCAAGAAUCUUGAGAACUGGGCAGGAAAAAUCAGAAUGACUAGACAGCAUCCUGGAGGGGGGCUGCUGCCUGGGCUCGGGACCUCUAAACAGCUGUUCCUGGGUGCUGGGGCUUCUCAAUCCCUUCUGCCAGAGUAUCGAUCCAAGGGAAAGGGCCCAUAUUCCUUGCAGGGGGGCUGCGGACCCCUAUGGGUGACGGGGCAUAAGGAUGCUAAAGAGCAAGGGAAGGGCGGGCAGGGAGUGGGGCCAGAGAUGAUGGGCAUGCUGCUCGAUGUGGUGCCUUACCCUUGUUCUGCUUAAAACAUGUGAGCAGUUCUUUAAAGUUGACAACUGCUCAUAUUAGCCUCACUGUACAGAUGGGGAAACUGAGGGAAUACGGCCAAGGUUGCCAAGCAUGUGACUGUGAGAGCUGGUGGUCGCACUAGAUGCUGUCUCCUCUGCAGGGCAGGGUCACAGUUGUUGAGGACCAUUCUAGCAACCCCCACCUCAGGGGCUACUCCAGCUCUGCCCACUGCUGUGGGCCUGCCUGGGCAGGGUGGCUCCUUUGAAACACAUUUGGGCCCCCACAGAGGUGUGGUGCCAUGGCUGGGGCACAGACUAUGUGCCCAUCUGUGUGACGUAAGGAAGUCCUCUGUAGCGUCACCUGCUCAUACACCAGUCACAACUGUAGACAGCAUGUGAGCUGCUUGCCAAUGCCACAGAUGGGGUCCUCUGUCUGGGGAUACCCCAGCUUUGCUGCAGUAGUCUGAGUCCCACAGGAGGAAAGUCAUUUGUUGGUGGCCACACAAGACACAGAGCCAGAUGCAGGUCUCCUGGUAGUUUUAGUUUUGAAUGGGGGCAACUUGGUAUCCCAGAGCACUUUCUCUUUGCCAAAUCAAAUAGCUCCUCCGAACACUGCCCACCUGCCCUGGCCAUGGGCUGGGAAGAGGAGAUUUGGGGUGCUCCUUAAGCCCUAGGCUCCUGGGAAAACACUGCCCAUCUGGCUGAGCUGGGAACUCACCAUGGAGUCUGUGGAGGAUCCAAAUGCUGAGGCAGGGUUGAGUCUGGGCAGGAUACGGGGGGCCUCAAGAAGGCCUCUGUGGUGGCCAAGUCUUGCUGCCACCUGGAAGCAUCUCCUUAUCAUGGCCAAGUGCAAGGAUCCAGCCCUGCUUGGAUGGAGGGUCUUGGCUGACUCCCAAGGAGUGCUUUCAGCUGCACUUGGGGCCGCUUCUCUCCCUUCUGUUGCAGGCUUUCUUUCAGAGAGCUAGGCGAGGCUGGGCUGGUGUGCUGCAACACCCACAGAUGCUCGGCGCCUUUAGCUGGUCUAGGAGCCCCACCCAGUGCUUGGGGAGGGACAGAUGCUGCUUGGGCAUGAAAAGGCAGCAGGACUGGCUUGAGUUGCAAAAGGAGUAAACAAGUACAUAAACAAAUAGUAUGGGGUAUAUAGAGCCUUGGAGAGCUGCCUGGGGGUUCUGAGGGAGAAUCCAAGAAUAUUUCCAGAAGGAUAAGGGAAGCCUGUCCCUUGAUUGGAGGGUGCUGGUGGAGUGUUCUUGGUAUGUGCUCUGCAGUGUAUACCGGACUCUGAAAACUCUGGUAUGAUUUUGUGACUCAGAAAACCAACUCACAGGCCGGGUGCGGUGGCUCACGCCUGUAAUCCCAGCACUUUGGGAGGCCGAGGCGGCGGAUUACGAGGUUAGGAGAUCGAGACCAUCCUGGCUAACACGGUGAAACCCCGUCUCUACUAAAAAAAAUACAAAAAAUUAGCCGGGCGUGGUGGCGGGUGCCGGUAGUCCCAGCUACGCAGGGGGCUGAGGCAGGAGAAUGGCGUGAACCUGGGAGGUGGAGCUUGCAGUGAGCUGAGAUCUAGCCACCGCACUCCAGCCUGGGCGACUGAGCGAGACUCCGUCUCAAAAAAAUAAAAAUAAAAAAAUAAAAAAAAAGAAAACCAACUCACAGCCUUAGACACCUCUUUUUUUUUUUUUUUUUUUUUUUUGGUGAGACGGAGUUUCAAUCUUGUCGCCCAGGCUGGUGUGCAAUGGCGUGAUCUCGGCUCACUGCAACCUCCGCCUCCUGGGUUCAAGUGAUUCUCCUGCCUCAGCCUCCUGAGUAGCUGGGAUUACAGACACACACCACCACACCCAGCUAAAUUUUGUAUAUUUUUUUUAGUAGAGAUGGGGUUUUGCCAUGUUAGCCAGGCUGGUCUUGAACUCCUGACCUCAGGUGACCUCCCAAAGUGCUGGGAUUACAGGCGUGAGCCACCGCACCCGGCCAACACCUCUUCUUAUAUCCCGGACAAGGGUUAGCACAGGAGAGUUUCACCUGCUGGUCUCUGGCUGGGGAUAGGAGUUGGAGGUGGGGGAGGGCUUGACAGGGAGGGCAGAAAAUAAUUUGGGAGGAAACAGCUUGGCAGGGAUACUCUCAUUUUUAAAUUGACUAAAAUAAAAGCAUGUUCUAAAGAUCAGUCCUCGCGCAGUGGCUCAAGGCUGUAAUCUCAGCAUUUUGGGAGGCCGAGUGAGACCUUGUCUUAAAAAAAAAAAAAUCAGAACUGUGCAAAGGUGGAAUCAUAACAGUGAUGAUGACGAUAAUAAUAGUUGUGAUGAUUAUGACAUUUUGGCAGGUUCCAAAAGAUGAAACUGAUUUAAUGCGGAAAUUUAAAAGAUUUGGUUCACCCUCUGUAUUUGGUUGCCCUAGAAGAAGACUAGAAUAUAAAUAUUUCCCCUCACCUCCUGCAAAGGUUUGAAUUAAACUUCCUCAAGGACUGGGGGAACCAUUUUUUUUUGUUGUUGUUAUUUUGUCAGAGUCUCACUCUUAUUGCCCAGGAGUGCAGUGGCACCAUCUCGGCUCACUGCAACCUCUGCCUCCCAGGCUCAAGCAAUUCUCCUGCCUCAGCCUCCCAAGUAGCUGGGAUUACAGGCGCUUGCUACUACGCCCGGCUAGUUUUUAUAUUUUUAGUAGAGACGGGGUUUCAUCAUGUUGGCCAGGCUGGUCUCAAACUCCUGGCCUUGGCUGAUCUGCCUGCCUCAGCGUCCCAAAGUGCUGGGAUUACAGGCAUGAGGCACCACGCCCAGCUGGAAGUUUUUUUGGUUGAUUCAGCCUCUGGGUCUAAGCAAAGAUAUUUGAGUUGGUUGCCAUCCCCAGAUAAGUGAGAAUAUCUGGCAGCACUCAUUUUCAGCCCUGGGCCGCAGCCGUUGCUGUGAGGCAGAAAUUAAAAAAAGAUAGUAAGUACUACAUUCAUUCACUCCAAGAAAAGUAACAGACAAGGCUAUAAGAAGGUCAUAGUGACCUAGUCUGAGAAGUAAAAGCCAAGGCCCAGAAUGUGGCAAGGCAAAGGUUAAAAAGAAAGGAAGAGCAAGUUUUUCUCUGCCUAGCAAGCUCACUUCAAAGACAAUUAUAAGAUAAUGCUCUUCGAGAAGUCGAAACCAAAGGAAUAGGCUCCAGACAUCCCCCGUCUGGAGCAAGGGUGAAGGAAAAAAAAAAAAGGACAAAUGUCUGUCUGUAUUUAGCCAGUUCUUGUUUUUUCUUUCCACGCAGCUACAAGGCCACCAGCUAUGCAAAGCCACAAGUUAUGCCAAGUCAUCAGUUAUGCUAUAGAUUAUGUGACCUGUCAUUAUAUGAUUAACUGCCUGUUUUGCUUCUGUAAGCCUGCUUAUAAAAAUCCUGCUCAGUCUUUGUUCAAUGCUCAGCUUUUUGGAUGUGAAUCCACUGAGCCAAUGCCUACCUUAAAAUAAACAUCGUCCUGUUUUUCCAUA